GACGAACGCUGGCGGCGUGCUUAAUACAUGCAAGUCGAGCGAGGUUACUGUUUUGGAUCCCUUCGGGGUGAAGAAGCUUUAACCUAGCGGCGGACGGGUGAGUAACGCGUGGGUAACCUACCCCAAAGUCCGGGAUAACAGCGGGAAACCGCUGCUAAUACCGGAUGCCUUUACCUUGGGGCAUCUUGAGGUAAAGAAAGGUAACGCUUUGGGAUGGGCCCGCGUCCCAUUAGCUAGUUGGUGAGGUAACGGCUCACCAAGGCGACGAUGGGUAGCCGGCCUGAGAGGGGUGGACGGCCAACGACUGGGAACUGAGACACGGCCCAGACUCCUACGGGAGGCAGCAGUAGGGAAUAUUGCGCAAUGGACGGAAGUCUGACGCAGCGACGCCGCGUGAGCGAUGAAGGUCUUCGGAUCGUAAAGCUCUGUCCUUGGGGAAGAAGGCGAAAGCUUGACGGUACCCAAGAAGAAAGCCCCGGCUAACUACGUG
RNAcentral lists this ribosomal RNA (490 nucleotides) under uncultured bacterium. RNAcentral's name for it is "bacterial SSU rRNA". It matches the Rfam family "Bacterial small subunit ribosomal RNA", at positions 28 to 507 of the family's 1533-position model. The record is from RNAcentral.